Molecule: ribosomal RNA, 115 nt
Filed under: Cordylochernes scorpioides
Lineage: Eukaryota; Metazoa; Arthropoda; Arachnida; Pseudoscorpiones; Chernetidae
Source: RNAcentral
ACAGCCAUACCACAUUGAAAACACCGGUUCUCGUCCGAUCACUAAAGUUAAGCAAUGUCGGGCCCGGUCAGUACUUGGGAGGGUGACCACCUGGUAACACCAGGUGUUGUAGGCU